RNAcentral lists this ribosomal RNA (238 nucleotides) under uncultured bacterium. RNAcentral describes it as "partial 16S ribosomal RNA". It matches the Rfam family "Bacterial small subunit ribosomal RNA", at positions 95 to 334 of the family's 1533-position model. The record is from RNAcentral.
CCGGCGCACGGGUGAGUAACGCGUAUGUAAUCUACCUGUAAUAGAGGGAUAACCCGGAGAAAUCCGGACUAAUACCUCAUAGCGCAUAUUAUUCGCAUGAAUUUUAUGCUAAAGAGACUCGGUUACAGAUGAACAUGCGUUCCAUUAGCUAGUUGGCGGGGUUACGGCCCACCAAGGCAACGAUGGAUAGGGGUUCUGAGAGGAAGGUCCCCCACACUGGUACUGAGACACGGACCAG